Molecule: ribosomal RNA, 381 nt
Filed under: uncultured bacterium
Lineage: Bacteria
Description: bacterial SSU rRNA
Rfam family: Bacterial small subunit ribosomal RNA
Source: RNAcentral
GACGAACGCUGGCGGCGUGCUUAACACAUGCAAGUCGAGCGGUAAGGCCCUUUCGGGGGUACACGAGCGGCGAACGGGUGAGUAACACGUGGGUGACCUGCCCUCAGCUCUGGGAUAAGCCUGGGAAAACUGGGUCUAAAUACUGGAUAUGACUCCACGGUGCAUGUCGUGGGGUGGAAAGCCUUGUGCGGCUGAGGAUGGGCCCGCGGCCUAUCAGCUUGUUGGUGGGGUGANGGCCUACCAAGGCGACGACGGGUAGCCGGCCUGAGAGGGCGACCGGCCACACUGGGACUGAGACACGGCCCAGACUCCUACGGGAGGCAGCAGUGGGGAAUCUUGCGCAAUGGGGCAAAAGCCUGACGCAGCGACGCCGCGUGAGGG